AUGGAGCAUACCUCUGAAGAAGAAUCUGAGAUUAGUGAUUCGGAGAUCGAUGAGUACAAGGACAAGAUCUACGCUCAACUGCGGUCCCAAAAAUUGAAAGUGCAGUAUGGUGAGAAGAUCUUCCGGUGCCCCUUCUGCCUAGGGAAAAAGAAGCGAGAUUACAACGUCAAGGAUCUUCUGCAGCAUGCCUCAGGAAUAGGGGCUGCUCAGAAACGCAAGCCCAGGGUGAGGGCAGCACACCUAGCACUUGCAGAGUAUGUGAAGAAUGAUUUGGGCAGCUCCUUGGAACCAUCAUUGCAACUUGCCAUCGUUGAGUAUAAGCCUCCUAAGAUUGAACAAGACAAGUUCGUAUGGCCGUGGAUGGGCAUUCUGGUUAAUAUACCAGCUGAUUUGAUGGAUACAAAUUUUGUCAGGGAGAGUGAGCAUAUGUUAAAAUCGCAGUUAUCACGGUUCAGACCAUGCGAAGUCACUAUUCUUUUGGAUUCCAAGGGCCAGACUGAUCACUCCAUCGUCAAGUUUGCUGAAGACUGGACUGGGUUCAAGGAUGCAUUAGCUUUUGAAAACCAUUUCAUAGUGGAGCAGUACAGUAAGACUGAUUGGACCAGAAGAAACUGUAAAAUGGACGAUCUUUAUGGAUGGCUUGCAAGAUCUGAUGAUUAUAACUCUCAUGGGACAAUAGGAGAGCAUUUGAGGAAAAUUGGAGUUCUAAAAAGUGUUGGUGAUCGGGAACAUGAGAGAACUGAGCGUAUUGCUCAUUUUACUCGCCAAAUGGAAGAGAAGAAUAAGCAUUUACAAGAACUGGAGCUGAAGCACAAUCAAACUGCAAUGAAACUUGAAAGCAUGAUGAAAGACAAGGAUCGAAUGGUUGAGGAAUAUAAUGAAAAGAUAAGAAAGAUGCAGGAAGACGCUCGUAGGAAUUCUAGUAAAAUAGUUGAAGAUAAUCAAAGACUGCAACAGGAACUGAAGACCAGGAGAGAACAAGCCAUCCGGAGACAUAAGCAACUUGAAGAGUUGGCUAGGAAAAGUAAUAUUGACAGAGCAAAAGUCGAAGCAGAGAAAGAAAAGAAUGCAAACGAGAAUGUUCUUCUUGACUUAGCAACCCUAAAGCAUAAGAAGGCGCGUGAAGAGCUCAGGCAGCUUCUCAAGAAACACGAGCAAGAGAAAGAAGAUGCUUUCAGGAGGCAAUACAAACUGGAAGAGGACUUAACUUCUAAGCAGAAUCUUGAGAUGGAAUUAGCACAGUUGAGAGGGAAGUUAGAGGUAAUGAAGCACAUGGGAGCUGAGGCAGAUACAACAUCAAAGGAAUUUGAUAAGGUGUCUGAAGAGCUGAAAGAGAAAGAUGAACAACUUGAAGCCAUGGAAUCUGCAAACCAGGCCCUUAUUAUUGUGGAACGAAGGACCAAUGAUGAACUUGAACAAGCCAAGAAAGAACUUAUACAGGGCCUACAACAGAUACAAGUAACUCGAUCCACUAUUGGUGUCAAAAGAAUGGGUGUGCUUGAUGAAAAAGCUUUUGUUGCUGCAUGCAAAAAGAAAGAGGGAAAUGGUGUUUCGAAAAAAAAUGCAAAGUAUGAUGUAGAGGCAACACUUGUGUUAUCAAAAUGGGAAGAUGAGAUCAAGCAACCAGAUUGGCAUCCUUUCAAAGUUAUCGAUGUUGAUGGACAGACAAAGGAAAUAGUCCGGGAAGACGAUGAGAAGCUGCAAGCCCUGAAAGAAGAGCUAGGGCAGGAGGCCCACGAUGUUGUGGUCAAGGCCCUUCUUGAGAUGAACGAAUACAACCCCAGCGGCAGGUACCCCGUCCCCGUGCUGUGGAACUUCAAGGAGAACCGGAGAGCGCCGCUUGACGAGGCAGUAGCCUACAUUCUCAAGCAGUGGAAGGCGAGCAAGAACAAGAGAACGUACUUCUCCUGA
This 1911-nucleotide ribosomal RNA is filed under the name Triticum aestivum (bread wheat). RNAcentral describes it as "partial small subunit ribosomal RNA". Lineage: Eukaryota; Viridiplantae; Streptophyta; Magnoliopsida; Poales; Poaceae. The record is from RNAcentral.